Molecule: ribosomal RNA, 404 nt
Filed under: uncultured bacterium
Lineage: Bacteria
Description: bacterial SSU rRNA
Rfam family: Bacterial small subunit ribosomal RNA
Source: RNAcentral
UGGGGAAUAUUGGACAAUGGGCGCAAGCCUGAUCCAGCAAUGCCGCGUGAGUGAUGAAGGCCUUAGGGUUGUAAAGCUCUUUCACACGCGACGAUGAUGACGGUAGCGUGAGAAGAAGCCCCGGCUAACUCCGUGCCAGCAGCCGCGGUAAUACGGAGGGGGCAAGCGUUGUUCGGAAUUACUGGGCGUAAAGGGCGCGCAGGCGGCUGCUCAAGUCAGGCGUGAAAGGCCUGGGCUCAACCCGGGAAUUGCGCUUGAGACUGGGCUGGCUUGAGUGCGGGAGAGGAUGGUGGAAUUCCCAGUGUAGAGGUGAAAUUCGUAGAUAUUGGGAAGAACACCGGUGGCGAAGGCGGCCAUCUGGACCGCAACUGACGCUGAGGCGCGAAAGCGUGGGGAGCAAACAG